AUGGUCUUAGCUUGCUAAGACUGAUGGCGACCGGCGCACGGGUGCGUAACGCGUAUGCAACUUGCCUCACAGAGGGGGAUAACCCGUCGAAAGACGGACUAAUACCGCGUACACUCCACCUUGGGCAUCCAAGGAGGAGGAAAUGAAAUUCGCUGUGAGAUAGGCAUGCGUCCCAUUAGCUAGUUGGUGAGGUAACGGCUCACCAAGGCGACGAUGGGUAGGGGAACUGAGAGGUUGAACCCCCACACUGGUACUGAGACACGGACCAGACUCCUACGGGAGGCAGCAGUGAGGAAUAUUGGUCAAUGGGCGAGAGCCUGAACCAGCCAAGUCGCGUGAAGGAUGACUGUCUUAUGGAUUGUAAACUUCUUUUAUACGGGAAUAACAAGAGCUACGUGUGGCUCCCUGCAUGUACCGUGUGAAUAAGCAUCGGCUAACUCCGUGCCAGCAGCCGCGGUAAUACGGAGGAUGCGAGCGUUAUCCGGAUUUAUUGGGUUUAAAGGGUGCGUAGGCGGCCUGUUAAGUCAGCGGUGAAAUCUAGGAGCUUAACUCCUAAAUUGCCAUUGAAACUGGCGGGCUUGAGUGUAGAUGAGGUAGGCGGAAUGCGUGGUGUAGCGGUGGAAUGCAUAGAUAUCACGCAGAACUCCAAUUGCGAAGGCAGCUUACUAAGGUACAACUGACGCUGAAGCACGAAAGCGUGGGUAUCAAACAGGAUUAGAUACCCUGGUAGUCCACGCAGUAAACGAUGAUAACUGGGCGUAUGCGAUA
This 768-nucleotide ribosomal RNA is filed under the name uncultured Porphyromonadaceae bacterium. RNAcentral describes it as "bacterial SSU rRNA". It matches the Rfam family "Bacterial small subunit ribosomal RNA", at positions 69 to 831 of the family's 1533-position model. The record is from RNAcentral. Lineage: Bacteria; Pseudomonadati; Bacteroidota; Bacteroidia; Bacteroidales; Porphyromonadaceae.